This 77-nucleotide transfer RNA is filed under the name Candidatus Anaerobiospirillum pullistercoris. Its description in RNAcentral is "tRNA-Arg". It matches the Rfam family "tRNA". Rfam says of the family: Transfer RNA (tRNA) molecules are approximately 80 nucleotides in length. Their secondary structure includes four short double-helical elements and three loops (D, anti-codon, and T loops). Lineage: Bacteria; Pseudomonadati; Pseudomonadota; Gammaproteobacteria; Aeromonadales; Succinivibrionaceae. The record is from RNAcentral.
GACCCCGUAGCUCAGUUGGAUAGAGUAUCAGUUUCCGAAGCUGACGGUCAUGAGUUCGACUCUCAUCGGGGUCGCCA